UACGGAGGGUGCAAGCGUUAUCCGGAUUCACUGGGUUUAAAGGGUGCGUAGGAGGGCAGGUAAGUCAGUGGUGAAAUCCCCGAGCUUAACUUGGGAACUGCCGUUGAUACUAUCUGUCUUGAAUGUUGUGGAGGUAAGCGGAAUAUGUCAUGUAGCGGUGAAAUGCUUAGAUAUGACAUAGAACACCAAUUGCGAAGGCAGCUUGCUGCACAAUUAUUGACUCUGAUGCACGAAAGCGUGGGGAUCAAACAGG
This 253-nucleotide ribosomal RNA is filed under the name uncultured bacterium. RNAcentral's name for it is "partial 16S ribosomal RNA". It matches the Rfam family "Bacterial small subunit ribosomal RNA", at positions 524 to 776 of the family's 1533-position model. The record is from RNAcentral.